GACGAACGCUGGCGGCGUGCUUAACACAUGCAAGUCGAACGAUGAAGCCUAGCUUGCUUGGUGGAUUAGUGGCGAACGGGUGAGUAAUACGUGAGUGACCUACCUUUGACUCUGGGAUAAGCCUGGGCAACUGGGUCUAAUACCGGAUACGACCAAUCUCCGCCUGGGGUGUUGGUGGAAUGUGCUAUGGUGUGGCUUUAGAUGGGCUCACGGCCUAUUAGCUUGUUGGUGAGGUAAUGGCUUAACAAGGCGACGACGGUUAGCCGGCCUGAGAGGGUGACCGGCCACACUGGGACUGAGGCACGGCCCAGGCGCCUACGUGAGGCAGCGGUGGGAAAUAUUGCACAAUGGACGCAAGGCGGAUGCAGCGACGCCGCGUGGGGGAUGACGGCCUUCGGGUUGUAAACCUCUGUGAGCAUCGAAGAGGCGAAAGUGACGGUAGGUGCAGAGAAAGCGCCGGCUAACUACUU
This 470-nucleotide ribosomal RNA is filed under the name uncultured bacterium. Its description in RNAcentral is "partial 16S ribosomal RNA". It matches the Rfam family "Bacterial small subunit ribosomal RNA", at positions 28 to 506 of the family's 1533-position model. The record is from RNAcentral.